This 482-nucleotide ribosomal RNA is filed under the name uncultured bacterium. Its description in RNAcentral is "partial 16S ribosomal RNA". It matches the Rfam family "Bacterial small subunit ribosomal RNA", at positions 30 to 507 of the family's 1533-position model. The record is from RNAcentral.
AUUGAACGCUGGCGGCAUGCCUUACACAUGCAAGUCGAACGGUAACGGGCCUUCGGGUGCCGACGAGUGGCGAACGGGUGAGUAAUACAUCGGAACGUGCCCGAUCGUGGGGGAUAACGAGGCGAAAGCUUUGCUAAUACCGCAUACGAUCUACGGAUGAAAGCAGGGGACCGCAAGGCCUUGCGCGGACGGAGCGGCCGAUGGCAGAUUAGGUAGUUGGUGGGAUAAAAGCUUACCAAGCCGACGAUCUGUAGCUGGUCUGAGAGGAUGAUCAGCCACACUGGGACUGAGACACAGCCCAGACUCCUACGGGAGGCAGCAGUGGGGAAUUUUGGACAAAGGGCGCAAGCCUGAUCCAGCCAUGCCGCGUGCAGGAUGAAGGCCUUCGGGUUGUAAACUGCUUUUGUACGGAACGAAAAGCCUUCUUUUAAUACAGGAGGGUCAUGACGGUACCGUAAGAAUAAGCACCGGCUAACUACGUG